This 809-nucleotide ribosomal RNA is filed under the name uncultured archaeon. Its description in RNAcentral is "bacterial SSU rRNA". It matches the Rfam family "Archaeal small subunit ribosomal RNA", at positions 85 to 879 of the family's 1478-position model. The record is from RNAcentral.
ACUGCUCAGUAACACGUGGCUAAUCUGCCCUUGGGACUAGAACAACCCCGGGAAACUGGGGCUAACUCUAGAUAGGUGAAGAACUCUGGAAUGAGUCUUUGCCUAAAUAGGUUCACGUUAUCCUCGUGAACUUGCCCAAGGAUGAGGCCGCGACCGAUCAGGUUGUUGGCGAGGUAAUGGCUCACCAAGCCUUUUACCGGUGCGGGCCGUGGGAGCGGGAGCCCGGAGAUGGGUACUGAGACAAGGACCCAGGCCCUACGGGGCGCAGCAGUCGCGAAACCUUUGCAAUACACGAAAGUGUGACAGGGCUAUCCCGAGUGCCAUCCGCUGAGGAAGGCUCUUACCCAGUCUAGAACGCUGGGGGAAUAAGGAGAGGGCAAGUCUGGUGUCAGCCGCCGCGGUAAUACCAGCUCUCCGAGUGGUGUGGAUGUUUAUUGGGCCUAAAGCAUCCGUAGCUGGCUAGGUAAGUCCCUUGUUAAAUCCACCGAAUUAAUCGUUGGAUCGCGGGGGAUACUGCUCGGCUAGGGGACGAGAGAGGCAGACGGUAUUCUCGGGGUAGGGGUGAAAUCCUAUAAUCCCGGGAAGACCACCAGUGGCGAAGGCUGUCUGCUAGAACGCGCCCGACGGUGAGGGAUGAAAGCUGGGGGAGCGAACCGGAUUAGAUACCCGGGUAGUCCCAGCUGUAAACGAUGCAGACUAGGUGUUUGAACGGCCACGUGCCGUUCUAGUGCCGCAGGGAAGCUGUUAAGUCUGCCGCCUGGGGAGUACGAUCGCAAGAUUGAAACUUAAAGGAAUUGGCGGGGGAGCAC